Pimephales promelas (fathead minnow) is the source of this 1888-nucleotide non-coding RNA. Lineage: Eukaryota; Metazoa; Chordata; Actinopteri; Cypriniformes; Leuciscidae. The record is from RefSeq and is a predicted model, not a curated record.
GUGAGUUUUGCAAAGCUUGUUUAAGUGCAUCCAUACUAGACUGACACUCCGAGGUCCACUCCCACUUAACACCUUUCUUUUUUAGGUGGUUUAAAGGGGCAGCGAUGUCAGCGAAAUGGGGUAUAAACUUAUGAUACCACCCUGCCAAUCCCAGAAAUCUUUGCAAAGCUUUGAGAUCUUGUGGGAUUGGGAACUCUGCAACCGCACUGGUCUUUUCUCGGUCAAUCUCCACUCCCCUCUCAGAGACUAUAUGGCCGAGGAAUUUGAGCUGUCGCUUGAAGAAGUGGCAUUUCUUCAUGUUCAACGUCAGACAGAACUCUCUCCAUCAGACGCUGGAAGUAUCCAGACUGCAGAUCCAAGGAACUAAACCAAGAGGCUCCUUCCAGUGAUUCAAGGAUGUCGUGGAUCAACGGCAUUGGAUAAGCGUCUGCCACUGUCUUGCUGUUCAACCUCCUAUAAUCCACGCAGAACCUGUGUGAGCCAUCAGGUUUGGGGACAAGUACCACCGGUGAAGACCAUGGUGAGAAAGAAGGUUCAAUGAUAUUGUCUCGCAACAUCUGAUCUACUUGCUCCUCUAUAAUCUGCUUUUUAAGAGGAGACACUCUGUACGCCCGGGAUUUGAGGGGUAUGUCAUCAGAUAAGGUGAUUCUGUGUUGUACAAUUGAGGUCUUACCCAGGUUGUUUGAGGUGGUGCGGGGCCAGGCAAAUAUCAACUUCAACAACUCCUCCUGAUUGUCCGAGUCCCAUAUAGUGCUCUCAGGGAGAAUGGAGAACAGUUCUGGAAGCCUCCCGGUGGAUGGUAUCGCAUAGUAUAAAUUCAGCUUUGCAUCCCUAUGAGGAAGAUCUUGACCCUCUGGGAUCCCCGGACCUGUUGGCAUCUGUGAUGGCAAGAAAGAGUAAUAGGUGUUUCCUUUUUCAGAUCUUAAUCCAUAUCUGCCUCGUCCCACUUCCAGGACUGCUCCCGUGUCUCUCAGGAAAUCCAACCCGGCAAUAAGAGGAAAUGCGAGAUCUCUGGACUGGUGAACUGUGCCGUCCGCCAUUAUAAACCUCUGUGGAGUGGAGGCACCAUCAGGAGAGAUGACACUGGAUGGGGUUGUGCUAGUGUCACUCCAGCCAGGUUUUUGUUAGAGACAUAGGGCCCGGUAGUCAUAUGCAAAGUCCCUCAGACGUUGUUGUGGCUGUUGAACCAUUGUCCUCAGCUUUUCCUCCACUUCUGAGAGCUCAGAGCAGGUCCCUUCAGCACCGUGCUUAAGGUUCCUAAGAGUUCUGCACUGGGGAGGGGCCGAAUCUCCAGGAAGUUCUCACAUUGUUCAAUGAAAUUGAGCACCUCCGCCGUAUCACAGGAGUCACCAAAAGAGGGGAAUUCGAGGCGGAUAGGAGGUCGGGCACAGAAUGAGGAUGAACCUGCCACUAAUGAAGGGAUACUCUAGCUGGGGUCGGUGGUUGAAGGACAGUGGAAAAUCGGGAGGUAUCUGGAUAAUGGGCCUGUAAUCUGGUGAGUGUGGGAGUGCUAGUGAGCCUUAAUUUUCUCAUUUGACUUUCCCAUUUCGCAUCUCUCCUCAGAAAACAAUUUGUCACAGCCCUUUCUAAUUUUUCCAGAGCAUCAGCAACAUAAUCUUCCAACUUUGCCAAGCUAGAAUCUACAGCCUGCCUGAAACUUGUUUCCCGAUUUAAUGUACUGUCCAUUGACUGUUUGAAAUCUUGUUCUAUGGUUUGUACUUUGUUAUCAAGGGCCAAUAAAUCAACUUUACAUUGAGUUAUUUCUGCUUGCAAUGAUUGUACCAUAUCAACAGUUUGUGUACAACUCUCAUCAUCAUCAUCAGAUUGUUCUGCAUCAGAAAGGUACAAUGAACUAAGCAUUGAAGUUAUUUCAGCAGUAGGAUUACGU